GGAAGGAGAAGUCGUAACAAGGUUUUGUGUGAUCCUUCCUGCCUGCCGGGCAGUGGUGCUCCACGAAGGGGUGUAUGGGGAUCUGGUUUAGGCCAGCACAUGCCCAUGGCCCCGGCGAGGAGCGCGACGACCCCGGAGGGUUUGAGGAUGGAUGGAAGCCUGAGUACUGGAAGAAGGGACUGGCUUUUGAGGCCCCAUGCGGGUCACACCCGCCUAUUCCCCCCUUUGCUUUUGGUUUCACCGAAGACCCCCUCGCCAUGGCCCUCGCUCUCCUCUGGCUGGGGGAGUCAAGGGUGGGUGAGGCCAUGUUUUCCGGGGGUUUUGGGGGGAGAGAUGAGGGUGAAACUCCAUGGGCCUCGCGCCGCCUUCCGUUUUGCUAGUGCGGUUGGACGGGGGAGGGAGGGAGGAGUGUGGGGGGGUGCAGAGGCGCCUCAGCACGAAAAGGACUCCUCCUCCCCUCUCGUACACUGUGCGACGCCAACAAAUUGCGGGGAGAGAGGAUGAGGAAAGCUUGGCUUAGUUUCUGGCCAAGUGGGAGGAAGGGGGUACCAAGUGCAGGGGAUGGGCUUUCAUGGCCCUGCUCCCCCAGCAUGGCCUGGAGAGGGAACAAACCCACUCCAGGGAAGGGUCAGAAUCCCCCCCUCCCCUUCCGCCCUGACGGGGGAAGGCAUCUCAAUCCGCAGCGGGCCUUCCCUUCUCUCACGCGAGAGAGAGGGUAGCGCCUAGCUCACAGACUAAACGCUGGCGGGCUUCCAUGUCCACGAGCUGCAUCUUCCCAGCCCACCCCGGUUGAGAGAACGAUGUGAGGUGGAAAAGGGAGGCUCAAGAUAUAGUCGGACCUGCCCCUAGGGGAGGGCGAAAGCUAGAUGGGGACUCCGGGAGAAAAGGGGGGGUGCGGCGAGCAAACGGGGGGGAGUUCUAGGCAGCCUU
Molecule: ribosomal RNA, 930 nt
Filed under: Cosmarium lundellii
Lineage: Eukaryota; Viridiplantae; Streptophyta; Zygnematophyceae; Desmidiales; Desmidiaceae
Description: partial 18S ribosomal RNA
Source: RNAcentral